Molecule: long non-coding RNA, 1223 nt
Filed under: Homo sapiens (human)
Lineage: Eukaryota; Metazoa; Chordata; Mammalia; Primates; Hominidae
Description: HSALNT0386868
Source: RNAcentral
GAGAUUGGAGGAGUUGCUGAGUGACAAUCAGGCUGUCAUCACUGAAUUCUGAUGGGCUACCUGGAACUGGCUUAGGGUGGGAUUACAUACGCCUCCUGCCACAUCGGAUUUCCUUCUAUUUUGUCAGGGGUGGCAUCAUCCAGUGAGUAAAUCUGUUAGUGAUCUCCCUCGCAUAACCUAGGAAUUCUCUCAGGAUCCAUUUUUCCAGUAGUUUUGAGAAAGCGACCAACAACAGCAAAGAGAGUAGUUCUUCCAUUCCAAGAGCAGCCAUCUUGCUUAACUGACAAACUAGAGAGAACUGCAAGGACUCAGUACAUCCCUGGCACAGUCCAUUCUCUCUCACAGCAUAUUGUAUGAGACUGUGUGAGUGCUGCUUCCACGCUACACUAAAAACCCAUGGUCCCUGCAUUAUUUGAGCAACUGACAAGCUUCUGAAGUUCAGGUUCGCGAACGCUGAGAGCAGCACCCAGUGGAUUUGUGGCAGAUUUUUGAUGAACCAAGCUGGCUGGUGUCGCCUCAGUUUGUCUAAAUUACCAAGGACCGCUGGAAUUUCCCUGGGAAUAUGUUUCGGGAAAGGUCAGAAACUCUUCAGUCGUCUUCACGCUUCCACUCAGUAGCAACGUUUUUGCACACUCAUUGACUAUCAACUGGUUGUCUAUGACUCAAAUUACAUAAUGAAUCCAGCACAUAAAUUAUUUACUCAGAUUUAAUGCCAGCAACUGUUAUCUUUGUAUUUUUUUCCCCUCUGCCAGCUAAUCUGGCUCAUUUCAUUGGAAUUUUGGUCAUGCCCAUUCUCCUUCUGCACUAAAUUAACUCCAUAACGUAGUAUAAACAGAACAAGCUUGUGUGUGAUAUGCUUAACUGUUAAUUUACCUAAUUAAACUAAUUCAAUUAAAUCAUUUACAUCUUUUUGGUAACAUGCCAGUUGAUACCACAGCAGAAGUGGGAUGUUUCAGAAGAUGAUUGUUCAGCAAAUGAAUGGAAAAAAAAAUAAAAGGAAAACAAAAUGAGACAACCGUCCAAAUCUCUUGGCUUGAAAAUUAAAUGAUACUGAAAAAAUGCAGCUUUCACGGGGCACUGUGAUUAGAUAUUUUUCUGAAAUCAAUUUUCUCUACAAAUUGGUAUUUUAACAGAGUGAUCACAAUCUAUUGUACAAAAUAUUUUAAACACUAUUUGUACAUUCACAUAUUUGGUAUGUUUAAGUAAAGUGUGCUUGUUCCCAC